GAAUUCUCACUCAUUUUCAAUGUUAACUAUAUAAAGUAAAAAUUAUUUUUAAUAAGAAAUCAGAAAAAUGUUUUUUUUAACAAAAGCUCUUUUUUUUUAAAAGAAGUGAACAGACAACAUGCUAAAAUGUAUUGUUAAUAAAAUUUACAUUCAAACAUAGGUUGCGACUUUUUGAAUCAAAAAACAUUUCAUUCUCAUUGAGGCUAGGGUUAUAUAUUUUCUGUAACCUCGAAACAAAAAACAAUAUUUUUGUACCACCUAGAAAACAGUUUUGAAAAUGUGAAACUGAUAAGG
Non-coding RNA from Biomphalaria pfeifferi, 294 nucleotides. Lineage: Eukaryota; Metazoa; Mollusca; Gastropoda; Planorbidae. The record is from the annotation of a GenBank genome assembly.